RNAcentral lists this ribosomal RNA (468 nucleotides) under uncultured bacterium. RNAcentral describes it as "partial 16S ribosomal RNA". It matches the Rfam family "Bacterial small subunit ribosomal RNA", at positions 28 to 507 of the family's 1533-position model. The record is from RNAcentral.
GACGAACGCUGGCGGCGUGCUUAACACAUGCAAGUCGAACGGAAAGGCCCUGCUUUUGUGGGGUGCUCGAGUGGCGAACGGGUGAGUAACACGUGAGUAACCUGCCCUUGACUUUGGGAUAACUUCAGGAAACUGGGGCUAAUACCGGAUAGGAGCUCCUGCUGCAUGGUGGGGGUUGGAAAGUUUCGGCGGUUGGGGAUGGACUCGCGGCUUAUCAGCUUGUUGGUGGGGUAGUGGCUUACCAAGGCUUUGACGGGUAGCCGGCCUGAGAGGGUGACCGGCCAAAAUGGGACUGAGAUACGGCCCAGACUCCUACGGGAGGCAGGAGUGGGGAAUAUUGCACAAUGGGCGGAAGCCUGAUGCAGCAACGCCGCGUGCGGGAUGACGGCCUUCGGGUUGUAAACCGCUUUCGCCUGUGACGAAGCGUGAGUGACGGUAAUGGGUAAAGAAGCACCGGCUAACUACGUG